AUGGUGAUUGACAACUCUGCACACCUGCAAUCAAGGAUGCCCCAUAUUUACCCCCCAGGGCAACACCUGUGGGGAGGCCGGUUCUCACUCCCUGAGCGUGGCCUGCAGGCGGCUGGCAGAGCGUCUGCUGGUCCUCCCUUCCCUAAAGCUCUGGGAAGGUGGCCAGGAGCCUGGUCACCUCACCCCUGCACGGCAGUCCUGUCUGUGCGAGCUUGUCUCUUCUGCACUCAGCCUCUGGCCGGAGGCAACAGCGGGGUCCUCUUUGUGAAGGAGGUGAUACCCAGGUGUG
This 289-nucleotide long non-coding RNA is filed under the name Capra hircus (goat). Its description in RNAcentral is "lncRNA (ENSCHIG00010031596.1)". Lineage: Eukaryota; Metazoa; Chordata; Mammalia; Artiodactyla; Bovidae. The record is from RNAcentral.